AUUGAACGCUGGCGGCAGGCCUAACACAUGCAAGUCGAGCGGAUGAAGGGAGCUUGCUCCUGGAUUCAGCGGCGGACGGGUGAGUAAUGCCUAGGAAUCUGCCUGGUAGUGGGGGAUAACGUCCGGAAACGGGCGCUAAUACCGCAUACGUCCUGAGGGAGAAAGUGGGGGAUCUUCGGACCUCACGCUAUCAGAUGAGCCUAGGUCGGAUUAGCUAGUUGGUGGGGUAAAGGCCUACCAAGGCGACGAUCCGUAACUGGUCUGAGAGGAUGAUCAGUCACACUGGAACGGGGACAGGGUCCAGACUACUACGGGAGGCAGCAGUGGGGAAUAUUGGACAAUGGGCGAAAGCCUGGUCCAGCCGUGCCGCGUGUGUGAAGAAGGUCUUCGGAUUGGAAAGCACUUUAAGUUGGGAGGAAGGGCAGUAAGUUAAUACCUUGCUGUUUUGACGUUACCAACAGAAUAAGCACCGGCUAACUUCGUG
RNAcentral lists this ribosomal RNA (484 nucleotides) under uncultured bacterium. Its description in RNAcentral is "partial 16S ribosomal RNA". It matches the Rfam family "Bacterial small subunit ribosomal RNA", at positions 30 to 507 of the family's 1533-position model. The record is from RNAcentral.